Molecule: ribosomal RNA, 104 nt
Filed under: uncultured bacterium
Lineage: Bacteria
Description: partial 16S ribosomal RNA
Rfam family: Bacterial small subunit ribosomal RNA
Source: RNAcentral
CCUUGUACAUACCGCCCGUCACACCAUGGGAGUUGGCUUUACCCGAAGACGGUGCGCUAACCGCAAGGAGGCAGCCGGCCACGGUAAGGUCAGCGACUGGGGUG